RNAcentral lists this ribosomal RNA (675 nucleotides) under uncultured Bacteroidota bacterium. RNAcentral describes it as "bacterial SSU rRNA". It matches the Rfam family "Bacterial small subunit ribosomal RNA", at positions 65 to 741 of the family's 1533-position model. Lineage: Bacteria; Pseudomonadati; Bacteroidota. The record is from RNAcentral.
AGGGGUAUAGUUCUUCGGAAUUAGAGACCGGCGCACGGGUGCGUAACGCGUAUGCAAUCUACCUUUUACAGAGGGAUAGCCCAGAGAAAUUUGGAUUAAUACCUCAUAGUAUAGAUCAACCGCAUGGUUGGCCUAUUAAAGUCACAACGGUAAAAGAUGAGCAUGCGUCCCAUUAGCUAGUUGGUAAGGUAACGGCUUACCAAGGCGACGAUGGGUAGGGGUCCUGAGAGGGAGAUCCCCCACACUGGUACUGAGACACGGACCAGACUCCUACGGGAGGCAGCAGUGAGGAAUAUUGGACAAUGGGCGCAAGCCUGAUCCAGCCAUGCCGCGUGCAGGAUGACGGUCCUAUGGAUUGUAAACUGCUUUUGCACAGGAAGAAACAACUCUACGUGUAGAGUCUUGACGGUACUGUGAGAAUAAGGAUCGGCUAACUCCGUGCCAGCAGCCGCGGUAAUACGGAGGAUCCAAGCGUUAUCCGGAAUCAUUGGGUUUAAAGGGUCCGUAGGCGGUUUAGUAAGUCAGUGGUGAAAGCCCAUCGCUCAACGGUGGAACGGCCAUUGAUACUGCUAGACUUGAAUUAUUAGGAAGUAACUAGAAUAUGUAGUGUAGCGGUGAAAUGCUUAGAGAUUACAUGGAAUACCAAUUGCGAAAGCAGGUUACUACUAAUGGAUU